Carassius auratus (goldfish) is the source of this 119-nucleotide ribosomal RNA. NCBI's taxonomy places the organism in Eukaryota, Metazoa, Chordata, Actinopteri, Cypriniformes, Cyprinidae. The record is from Ensembl.
GCUUACGGCCAUACCAACCUUGCUAUGCCCGAUCUCGUCUGAUCUCGGAAGCUAAGCAGGUUUGGGCCUGGUUAGUACUUGGAUGGGAGACCGCCUGGGAAUACCAGGUGCUGUAAGCU